RNAcentral lists this ribosomal RNA (264 nucleotides) under uncultured bacterium. RNAcentral describes it as "partial 16S ribosomal RNA". It matches the Rfam family "Bacterial small subunit ribosomal RNA", at positions 57 to 305 of the family's 1533-position model. The record is from RNAcentral.
GCAAGUCGAACGAGAAAGUUUCCUUCGGGAAGCGAGUACAGUGGCGCACGGGUGAGUAACGCGUAAGUGAUCUACCCUCGCAUCAGGAAUAACUACGGGAAGCUGUAGCUAAUACCAGAUACGUUCUCCAAUUUACGAAUAGGAGAAGAAAGAUGGCCUCUUCUUGAAAGCUAUCGUGCGGGGAGGAGCUUGCGUACCAUUAGCUAGUUGGUAGGGUAAUGGCCUACCAAGGCAACGAUGGUUAGCGGGUCUGAGAGGAUGAUC